This 2295-nucleotide long non-coding RNA is filed under the name Mus pahari (shrew mouse). RNAcentral's name for it is "predicted gene, 26873 (MGP_PahariEiJ_G0005213.1)". The record is from RNAcentral. Lineage: Eukaryota; Metazoa; Chordata; Mammalia; Rodentia; Muridae.
AGACAGGGUUUGUGUAGUCCUGGCUCUCCUGGAACUCGCUCUCCAGACCAGGUUGACCUCAAACUCCACAAUCUACCUGCCGAUUGCCACCAUGCCUGGCUAUGUAUUUAUUUAUGAGACAGGGUCUUUCUACAUAGCUCUGGCUGUCCUGAAAGUGUGGACCAGGAUGCUUCCUGAGUGCUUGGAAUUAAAGGAAGGCACCACCAUCCUGGGUCUUAGCCAAUGAGAACAGCACCAAAGAGGCUUAAUGGUGCUUAACUACCCAUUACUGAUUUAUCUCUACUAGAGAAGUCUAAAGAAACAAGGCAAUCAGUUUCAUUCCAAUGGUCACAUAACUGUGUACUGUCUCACGUAAUUCUAAAACCAACUCACCAAUGUAGUAAUGUGACCAACUGAAGGAGAAAGGAAGAGAGAACUACAGAGUGCAUUAAGUUGUUCUAUUAUUUAUUACAUGUAAAUCCAGGAUCUGAGGAUACAGGCUCAUAUACAAUUCACAAAGCUCAAGAUAAAAACUUGAAGACUGAAACCACAACACAAUUACAAGAUCAACCUCUGUUUAUCUUUUAAUGUAAUACAUGCUUUACAGAUUUCAAUUUUAUAUUUAGAAAAUCAAGUAAAUUUUCUUAGACAAGUUUAGAAAGAAUAUGAAAACAAUUACAUUUUUGAGAAUUUCACUGUUAUUGGUCUGGCAAAUCCUAAACAUUUCUGAACAGCCCCAGAACUGUAAUAUAAACAACUAUUAACUAUUUUUUACUUUAUUCUUCUGUGUGUGCAUGCAUCCUCAUGUGUACAGGUGUGCAAACACCUGUGUACACAUGUGUACUGAAGCCAGAGGCCAGCAAAUGUACUUCCUCUACCACUUCCCAUCUUGUUCGUUUGAGACAGGGUCUCUCACUGAACCUGGAGCCGGUCAGCAAGCUCCAGGAAAUCUUCAGUUGUUUGUGCUGAGUUAACAGACAUACCUCACCACAUCUGGCUUUUAAAUGUGUGCAUUGGGGAUACAAUGUCAUUCUGGAUAGCUCUCAUUUAAUAUUAUAAUGCCUCAUUCUAUCCAAAACGAAACAAAAUUCUAAUUCACUAAUAACAUCUGAAUUUUAAUACGUUUAGAAAAAUGAAGUCAUUUAUCUUUUGAGUUUGUGUACAGCCAUUUCACUUUCUCAUUUCUUCCCUUCUAAACUGUUUCCUUCUUUGUUCACUAUGAGGAAAUUAUCUCUAAAAACUAGCUUUAAUAACACAAUUUUACUUAAACAGAAGAAAAGAAACCAACAUAACAAAAUUGACUUUAAAGCAUGGAAAAUUUGAUAAAUUACUAUUUUGCUGCAUGGCCAUUGCCAAGUUUACUUUUUAAAUUUUGGUCAGAAAAUAAUUUUUACGAAGCACAAUUAAACAGUAGUCUUCAAAACCCUGCAUAUUCCUGAACUGAGGCAGGUGGAUGGGUUGUAAACUUACCCUGUGGCUUCUACUGACUCCUCCAGGAUCAGGGAAACAAGCCAACCCAACCAGGCCUGCCUGAGUCCUGAGAGAAGUCAUGACUUGUAAAUCCUUGCACUUUCCAAAUGUCUGCUAUGAAUGAGAACUAGCUCCUCACCCCAAUGUGUGGGGUUAGAGAAGCACUUCUCCAAAGGCCACAGAGAGGGCCUGCUUUGUGGGGUGUGGUCAUCUCCUCACCAAUUCUUCCUUCUGAGUAGGUCAGAAGAGAGGCUGGCUUACACGCCAGAACCUCAGCUGGGCGAGAAUAUUCUGCUCAUUGUCCUGUCUAGAAAAUAUCCCUUUUGUAAACUGCUUGGAUACAAAUGUAAAAUGACCAAGGGACCAACAAAAAUUUGAUAGUAAAGACAUUUAAAAUCACCCAUCUCCCGAAUGUAAGCAGGGGGGUGAUAUACCUCUACAUUUCAGCCAUAUUGCUACCUUUGUGCAAAGUCAUAUAACCUUCCUUGUUAUAAAUCAAUCAUGGGGAACUACAAACUACAUUAACAUUUUAUUCCUAAAAUUCAAACUAAUUUAUAUGUUGCCUUAUCCCUGGAAGCUUUGCUUGUUCCAGGUGAAAACUUCUACAUGCUGACCAUGUUAUAAUAUUAACAUAUGAGAUCCAAAUAUCUAAAUGACCCGAAGUCCUGACAGUACCACUCUGCCCACAGCUCUGACCCCAACAACUGGCACACACAGCACUUACUGGAGGGAUUGUUGAACAGCUUAGGGCACUGCCCACAGACGUGACACUCAAUGUUCUUGUUCUAUGUUGAGCAACACUGUUCAUACUCUCUUCAUCUCUAGAAUAAAUAAAAUUUAAGAAAC